AACGCGAAGAACCUUACCUGGCCUUGACAUCCCAAGAACUUUCCAGAGAUGGAUUGGUGCUAGCUUGCUAGAACUUGGUGACAGGUGCUGCACGGCUGUCGUCAGCUCGUGUCGUGAGAUGUUGGGUUAAGUCCCGCAACGAGCGCAACCCUCGUCUUUAGUUGCUAACAGUUAGGCUGAGCACUCUAAAGAGACUGCCUCCGUAAGGAGGAGGAAGGUGAGGACGACGUCAAGUCAUCAUGGCCCUUACGGCCAGGGCUACACACGUGCUACAAUGGGGCGUACAGAGAGCUGCAAUACCGCGAGGUGGAGCCAAUCUCUUAAAGCGUCUCUCAGUUCGGAUUGUUCUCUGCAACUCGAGAAUAUGAAGCUGGAAUCACUAGUAAUCGCAGAUCAGCUAUGCUGCGGUGAAUACGUUCCCGGGUC
This 426-nucleotide ribosomal RNA is filed under the name uncultured marine bacterium. RNAcentral describes it as "bacterial SSU rRNA". It matches the Rfam family "Bacterial small subunit ribosomal RNA", at positions 958 to 1380 of the family's 1533-position model. The record is from RNAcentral.